Molecule: small nucleolar RNA, 131 nt
Organism: Octodon degus (degu)
Lineage: Eukaryota; Metazoa; Chordata; Mammalia; Rodentia; Octodontidae
Source: Ensembl
UUCCAAAGUGUUGAGUUCAGUUCAGGCAGCUUCCCUGUUCUGUUAAUUAAACUUUGGCACAUUGAAAUAGGCUAGAGGAGACUACUGGAUAGAGAGUAUUACUCUGUUCACUUACCUCCCAGCCUACAAAA